This 266-nucleotide ribosomal RNA is filed under the name Escherichia coli. RNAcentral describes it as "partial 16S ribosomal RNA". It matches the Rfam family "Bacterial small subunit ribosomal RNA", at positions 195 to 449 of the family's 1533-position model. Lineage: Bacteria; Pseudomonadati; Pseudomonadota; Gammaproteobacteria; Enterobacterales; Enterobacteriaceae. The record is from RNAcentral.
GCAAGACCAAAGAGGGGGACCUUCGGGCCUCUUGCCAUCGGAUGUGCCCAGAUGGGAUUAGCUAGUAGGUGGGGUAACGGCUCACCUAGGCGACGAUCCCUAGCUGGUCUGAGAGGAUGACCAGCCACACUGGAACUGAGACACGGUCCAGACUCCUACGGGAGGCAGCAGUGGGGAAUAUUGCACAAUGGGCGCAAGCCUGAUGCAGCCAUGCCGCGUGUAUGAAGAAGGCCUUCGGGUUGUAAAGUACUUUCAGCGGGGAGGAA